RNAcentral lists this microRNA precursor (169 nucleotides) under Medicago truncatula (barrel medic). Its description in RNAcentral is "MIR2619 microRNA precursor family". It matches the Rfam family "MIR2619 microRNA precursor family". The record is from Rfam by way of RNAcentral. Lineage: Eukaryota; Viridiplantae; Streptophyta; Magnoliopsida; Fabales; Fabaceae.
AAACCGCCUCCUUAGUUUUGCAACUGUAGCAGUUUUUGCUCCCCAAGACCAAAAAAAUUAAAAAAAAUAACACGCGGCACCUCACUUAGGGUGCCACGUCAGCGUAGACUGAGUCAAAAUUGAUAUCGGGGGCCAAAACUGCUACAGGUGCAAAACUUAGGCGCGGUUU